This 213-nucleotide long non-coding RNA is filed under the name Musa acuminata (dwarf banana). RNAcentral describes it as "long non-coding RNA (MACU_LNC011682)". Lineage: Eukaryota; Viridiplantae; Streptophyta; Magnoliopsida; Zingiberales; Musaceae. The record is from RNAcentral.
AGAAAAAUAGAUGAUGCGAUUGGAGAAGAUAUUUGAUGUACGAAAUUGUUCUGAUAAUCAAAAGAAUUUCUAGAGAUCAAGGACAGGAAUAGAAAGGACAAGUUUACCAAAAAAAAAAAAGAUUAGAAAUGAAUCUGAAUGUGAUAAUAAGAGGGUCAAGACAUCAUCGAUUUGAAAAGGGAAGUCACCACAAAAGAUUCAAUCCUGUGUAUG